AAGUGCCGUCAUUGCUGAGAUC
Molecule: microRNA, 22 nt
Filed under: Macaca mulatta (Rhesus monkey)
Lineage: Eukaryota; Metazoa; Chordata; Mammalia; Primates; Cercopithecidae
Description: Mml-Mir-430-P8_3p (mature (guide))
Source: RNAcentral